This 351-nucleotide RNase P RNA is filed under the name Methanomethylovorans sp. RNAcentral describes it as "RNase P RNA component". It matches the Rfam family "Archaeal RNase P". Rfam says of the family: Ribonuclease P (RNase P) is a ubiquitous endoribonuclease, found in archaea, bacteria and eukarya as well as chloroplasts and mitochondria. Its best characterised activity is the generation of mature 5'-ends of tRNAs by cleaving the 5'-leader elements of precursor-tRNAs. Cellular RNase Ps are ribonucleoproteins. The record is from RNAcentral. Lineage: Archaea; Methanobacteriati; Methanobacteriota; Methanomicrobia; Methanosarcinales; Methanosarcinaceae.
GAGAGAGGAAGCGCGGCUGCCGGGUCAGUGACCUGAGGAAAGUCUCCCCACCAUCUGAACACACGAACACCUGUAAAGGGUGUCUGGCGAGAGCCAGGGCUCUGGCACAGAAACGAUACCACCCCAUACAAAUGCAAUGAUACUGGAAAGUUGAGGUCGUAUGGAAUGUGGAUGGAACGGCGAAUCCUCGUGGGUGCAAGUCAGAAGUAGGGACAAACGGAGUUCAGACCGUCCCCGAAGUUGAAGACGCAUAGCUGAAUGCCGCAACUGCAAAUGCCACUGGCUAUCUCUUUAGUGCCAUGUACUAUCGAGAUUAUUGCAGCAACAGAAGGGAGCUUACUCUCCUCACUC